Molecule: ribosomal RNA, 460 nt
Filed under: uncultured bacterium
Lineage: Bacteria
Description: partial 16S ribosomal RNA
Rfam family: Bacterial small subunit ribosomal RNA
Source: RNAcentral
CCUACGGGAGGCAGCAGUGAGGAAUAUUGGUCAAUGGCCGGAAGGCUGAACCAGCCAUGCCGCGUGAAGGUCAGUGCCCUAUGGGCGUUAAACUUCUUUUGUGCGGGAGCAAUAAUGGUCACGUGUGGCCAGACGAGAGUACCGUACGAAUAAGCAUCGGCUAACUCCGUUCCAGCAGCCGCGGUAAUACGGGGGAUGCAAGCGUUAUCCGGAUUUAUUGGGUUUAAAGGGUGCGUAGGCUGUGAGGUAAGUCAGCGGUGAAAUGCCCCCGCUCAACGGGGUGAAGUGCCAUUGAUACUGCCUGGCUGGAAUGCGGAUGCCGUGGGAGGAAUGUGUGGUGUAGCGGUGAAAUGCAUAGAUAUCACACAGAACACCGAUUGCGAAGGCAUCUCACGAAGCCGCGAUUGACGCUGAUGCACGAAAGCGUGGGUAUCAAACAGGAUUAGAUACCCUUGUAGUC